UGGACUUUAUUUAAAGAACUAUGGAUCCUACCUAAGACAUUUAUAAAAUCCAGUUGAUGUUAGGAUUCCACCACGAGCUAAUUUACUGCAAGUCGAGAGGUAUUCAGAAUACAUUUCUGCUCGAGAAACAGAACAAUCUGGAUUUACUUCAAAAUAACAAAUAUAAAAACUAUGUUCACAUCCCAAUGAGAGCAGGGUUGGUCUGCUGACAACAAAUAUUCUAUAAGAAAUAGUUUUAUUUAGUGAAUAUCUAUUCGGCAUCCUGUCUUGUAAUAAUCAUAACAUAAAACAAGUUCCCAAUUACGUGCUAUUUGCAUUGUAGCUGAAGAAAAUGGGGGGAAACUGAACUAAGGUUAAACUUUUCUUGGCUCUUGGAUCAAAUUCCUUCAGAAAAAACUUAUCCAAGCUUUUCAGGUACUUCUUUUUAAAACUCUUCAUUUGCUUUUUUUCAGAAAGUGGUGCAGAUAGGACUACACAAUCUUUUCAAGGAAAUAUUAUUGUCAAGCUGCUUAUUUCUGUUCUAUCAUUUGAUUAAUGUCCGUCUACUAUUACACACCCAAAAAUUAUUAAUGAAUAAGAAGUUUUGUUUUAGAUGGAAGAGAAGAGACAUUUUAAAACACCUGCUUUUAUUUUCUUAAGGUCAGUCCAAUUCAGUUUUAACAAAAUGUUAAUUUUAGAAGAACAAAUUUUGUAACCUGACAAACUGUACUUUCUACAAAGUGAAAGAUAACUUUUUAACACAAAUUUUACUCUGAAAAAAGUUAAAUGGUGUAAUUUAAUGACAUUCUAGUCAUACUAUUUUAAUUCUGAAAAUUCUGAUGAAUAUUUUUCUUUCAAAUUAUUCCAAUAUACAAGGGGAUU
RNAcentral lists this long non-coding RNA (861 nucleotides) under Pan troglodytes (chimpanzee). Its description in RNAcentral is "long non-coding RNA NONPTRT003496". The record is from RNAcentral. Lineage: Eukaryota; Metazoa; Chordata; Mammalia; Primates; Hominidae.